UACGGAGGGGGCUAGCGUUGUUCGGAAUUACUGGGCGUAAAGCGUACGUAGGCGGCUUUGUAAGUUAGAGGUGAAAGCCCGGGGCUCAACUCUGGAAUUGCCUUUAAGACUGCAUCGCUUGAAUCAUGGAGAGGUGAGUGGAAUUCCGAGUGUAGAGGUGAAAUUCGUAGAUAUUCGGAAGAACACCAGUGGCGAAGGCGACUCACUGGACAUGUAUUGACGCUGAGGUACGAAAGCGUGGGGAGCAAACAGG
Molecule: ribosomal RNA, 253 nt
Filed under: uncultured bacterium
Lineage: Bacteria
Description: partial 16S ribosomal RNA
Rfam family: Bacterial small subunit ribosomal RNA
Source: RNAcentral